Talpa occidentalis (Iberian mole) is the source of this 480-nucleotide long non-coding RNA. RefSeq lists it as uncharacterized. The transcript has 3 exons. Lineage: Eukaryota; Metazoa; Chordata; Mammalia; Eulipotyphla; Talpidae. The record is from RefSeq and is a predicted model, not a curated record.
CAGUUUGUUUGGCCUGAACAAGACCGACUAUUAUUAAACGGAGCCAACAACUCUAUGUGAACUUGGUAAAGAAAUAAUCAUUUGCUCCCACCUUUCUAACAACAUGGGCAGGGAGAAGAUUCAGAAGGAAGAAGCCCUGACACAGGCUGGCAGAAGCUGCUCCUCCUGAGAGAUCUUCUAUGCCCAAAACAUUAACACCAGAAAGCUAACUGAGAAGCAGCAGGCAUAUGUCUGUUUUUAGCAAUGUCUAGGAUCCAGAAACCACAGGGGACAUUCAUUCUAUGAAAAUGACUCUAUGUCCCAGCAGGUUCCCAGCACAUUCUAUGUCACACUCUGGCUCUGAGAAGUACUUUCAGUUUCUGCACAGCAGUAUCUAUCCACCUUUCCACUGCCUGUCAUGUACAGGAGAAACACUGUAGGAAUAAGGAUAUCAACUAGCCAUAGGUAAGAACUUGCACUUCGGAAUACUUAUAAUGAAAA